Molecule: ribosomal RNA, 491 nt
Filed under: uncultured bacterium
Lineage: Bacteria
Description: partial 16S ribosomal RNA
Rfam family: Bacterial small subunit ribosomal RNA
Source: RNAcentral
AGUGAACGCUGGCGGUAGGCCUAACACAUGCGAGUCGAACGGCAGCACAGUAAGAGCUUGCUCUUACGGGUGGCGAGUGGCGGACGGGUGAGGAAUACAUCGGAAUCUACUUUUUCGUGGGGGAUAACGUAGGGAAACUUACGCUAAUACCGCAUACGACCUACGGGUGAAAGCAGGGGAUCUUCGGACCUUGCGCGAUUGAAUGAGCCGAUGUCGGAUUAGCUAGUUGGCGGGGUAAAGGCCCACCAAGGCGACGAUCCGUAGCUGGUCUGAGAGGAUGAUCAGCCACACUGGACCUGAGCCACGGUCCAGACUCCUACGGGAGGCAGCAGUGGGGAAUAUUGGACAAUGGGCGCAAGCCUGAUCCAGCCAUACCGCGUGGGUGAAGAAGGCCUUCGGGUUGUAAAGCCCUUUUGUUGGGAAAGAAAAGCAGCAGGUUAAUACCCCGCUGUUCUGACGGUACCCAAAGAAUAAGCACCGGCUAACUUCGU